AUUGAACGCUAGCGGGAUGCUUUACACAUGCACGUCGAACGAGUGGCGGACGGGUGAGUAAUAUAUCGGAACGUGCCCAGUAGCGGGGGAUAACUACUCGAAAGAGUGGCUAAUACCGCAUACUCUUGGAGCGGCCUAUAGCGGAUUAGCUAGUUGGUGGGGUAAAGGCUCACCAAGGCAACGAUCCGUAGCUGGUUUGAGAGGACGACCAGCCACACGGGGACUGGGCCACGUCCCAGAGUCCUACGGGAGGCAGCAGGGGGAAAUUUUGGACAAUGGGGGAAACCCUGAUACAGCCAUCCCGCGUGUAUGAGAAGGCCUUCGGGUUGUAAAGUACUUUUGGCAGAGAAGCGGUAUCUGCAGAAUAAGCACCGGCUAACUACGUGCCAGCCGCCGCGGUAAUAC
This 405-nucleotide ribosomal RNA is filed under the name uncultured bacterium. RNAcentral's name for it is "partial 16S ribosomal RNA". It matches the Rfam family "Bacterial small subunit ribosomal RNA", at positions 30 to 526 of the family's 1533-position model. The record is from RNAcentral.